Long non-coding RNA from Cyprinus carpio (common carp), 535 nucleotides. RefSeq lists it as uncharacterized. Lineage: Eukaryota; Metazoa; Chordata; Actinopteri; Cypriniformes; Cyprinidae. The record is from RefSeq and is a predicted model, not a curated record. The transcript is spliced from 3 exons.
GUUUCACGAGUGGUGGGCGUCCGGCGCCCUGCAGACGCCGCGGGGGAACUGCUCCGCCUGCGCAGACGUGACUGCAGUGCUGGAGCUGAGCAUGUCUGCGGGGAUCAACAGACACACACAGCCCCUGCUGCUCAAGGGUGGAGAGUCUCUGUCUCACCGUGUGUCUCAUCUGGAGCAGUUCUCACAGACGCUCAGAGAAACACCGGGCCAACUUCACCCUGCCUGCUCUGGUAACCAGCAGCCCUCGGGUUAUUAGAUGAUACAUCAGCAUCUGUAUCUGUGUGUGUUUUGAAGCUUGUGUGUGUGUGUGUGUGUGUGUGUGCUUCAGGAGUUUCUCGUCCAGUCCCAGAGAGACGCUUCUCCAGUGGCUGUUUCCCGACACUGAGCUCUGCCCCUCUGCUGGAGAACACAGGCACAACACUGCAGCACUGCCAGCUGACCGACAGCACCAGCACACAACACACGAGAGUGCAGGUGUGGGGUUGGCUGGUGUUGGGCUGAAGGGUCUCCGUGGGUUCGUGUUGUUCCCGUCCAG